UGCAAGUCGAGGGGAAACGACGGCGGGGUUUCGGCCUUGCCGGGCGUCGACCGGCGAUGGGUGAGUAACGCGUAUCCAACCUGCCCCUGUCCCGGGAAUAGCCCUUGGAAACGAGGAUUAACGCCCGAUUUGCGGAGCAGUCGCAUGGCAGUUCCGUGAAAUGCCUAAGGACGGGGAUGGGGAUGCGUCUGAUUAGCCAGCUGGCGGGGUAACGGCCCACCAGGGCUUCGAUCAGUAGGGGUUCUGAGAGGAAGGUCCCCCACACUGGAACUGAGACACGGUCCAGACUCCUACGGGAGGCAGCAGUGAGGAAUAUUGGUCAAUGGCCGAGAGGCUGAACCAGCCAAGUAGCGUGAGGGACGAAGGCCCUAUGGGUUGUAAACCUCUUUUAUGCGGGGAUAAAGAGCGCCACGCGUGGCGUGUUGCAGGUACCGCAUGAAUAAGGACCGGCUAAUUCCGUGCCAGCAGCCGCGGUAAUACGGAAGGUCCGGGCGUUAUCCGGAUUUAUUGGGUUUAAAGGGAGCGCAGGCGGAGCGCCAAGUCAGCCGUCAAAUGGCUCAGCUCAACUGAGUCCUGCGGUUGAAACUGGCGCCCUUGGGUGCACAAGAGGCAGGCGGAACUCGUGGUGUAGCGGUGAAAUGCAUAGAUAUCACGAAGAACUCCGAUUGCGAAGGCCAGCUUGCUGGGGUGUUACCGACGCCUCAAUGGCUCGAAGGGCGCGGGUAUCAAACAGGAUUAGAUACCCUGGUAGUCCGCGCAGUAAACGAUGGAUGCCCGCGGUGCGGCCGUUUAAGGUUACGCCGCCAAGCGAAAGCGUUAAGCAUCCCACCUGGGGAGUACGCCGGCAACGGUGAAACUCAAAGGAAUUGACGGGGGCCCGCACAAGCGGAGGAACAUGUGGUUUAAUUCGAUGAUACGCGAGGAACCUUACCCGGGCUUGAAAGGGAGCGGACGGGGGGCAGAGACGCCUUCUUUCUUCGGACCGUCUUCCUAGGUGCUGCAUGGUUGUCGUCAGCUCGUGCCGUGAGGUGUCGGCUUAAGUGCCAUAACGAGCGCAACCCUUUCCGCCGGUUGCCAUCGGGUAAUGCCGGGCACUCCGUCGGUACUGCCGCCGCAAGGCGUGAGGAAGGUGGGGAUGACGUCAAAUCAGCACGGCCCUUACGUCCGGGGCCACACACGUGUUACAAUGGGGGGCACAGCGAGCUGGAUGCAGGCGACUGCAUUCGAAUCAAGAAAUCCCCUCCCAGUUCGGACUGGAGUCUGCAACCCGACUCCACGAAGCUGGAUUCGCUAGUAAUCGCGCAUCAGCCAUGGCGCGGUGAAUACGUUCCCGGGCCUUGUACACACCGCCCGUCAAGCCAUGAAAGCCGGGGGCGCCUGAAGUCCGCAGCC
Molecule: ribosomal RNA, 1392 nt
Filed under: uncultured bacterium
Lineage: Bacteria
Description: 16S ribosomal RNA
Rfam family: Bacterial small subunit ribosomal RNA
Source: RNAcentral